Stegodyphus mimosarum is the source of this 73-nucleotide non-coding RNA. The record is from Rfam. Lineage: Eukaryota; Metazoa; Arthropoda; Arachnida; Araneae; Eresidae.
GCCUUCGUGGUCUAGUGGACAGCACGCUGGGCGCAUAUUUCAGAGGUCCGUGGUUCGAGUCCCGGCGAAGGCA